UGAGAUUCAGGUUCACUGAGAGAAGUUGUCUCAAAGAGAAUUAGAAAGAGUGUCAUAGGGGAAGACCUCUGAUAUCCUCUGGCUGCCAAGUGCAUGUGGCUUCACACACACACACACACACACACACACACACACACACAAGUGCAUGUGGCUUCACACACACACACACACACACACACACACACACACACACACAGAGUCUUAGUUCCAAGCAUUGUGACAAGAGCUAGAACCCUGCUAGAACCUCUUCUUUGUUCCAGAAGAGAUACAGCAGCAUUGUGAGGCCCAGAAGUUUGCAGAUUCUGUGGCUGUGUGGAAAGUCAGUAUGUCCUGGGGCACUACUGAGGCAGAAGCAUUUGGCAAGAAUUCUCCUAAACUGUGCAAAUUAACAUGAAUACCAAACUUCCCAACGGGUGGUCUUGCACUUAGGAAUUCACCCGGUAUUUUUUUUUCAUCAAGCCAAUGUCUCUACAAGUCAACCUUUCCUUAAAUGGUUCUUUUAUCCA
Rattus norvegicus (Norway rat) is the source of this 506-nucleotide non-coding RNA. The record is from RefSeq and is a predicted model, not a curated record. NCBI's taxonomy places the organism in Eukaryota, Metazoa, Chordata, Mammalia, Rodentia, Muridae.